CCGGGUUUGGUUGCUCUGAAAAAUUUUUCUGUUGCGCACAAAAAAAACCAGGAGGCGGCAAGAAGGAGAAACAACUGUGGGAGAGAUAUGCUGUUCAUGGUCAGGUUUUUGAGUUGGCUUCCAAUACCAGAUUACAAUAUUGUGAGAACUGAAGUCUCUUGAACUCUGCUGGGGAUUCCUGGAAGACAUUUUGAAGAACUCCAUUAAUGGAUGGCCAGCCACUGCCCCAAAGAACCUACCUACAGGCGUGACGUGAGAUAGGCGCAGUGAGAGAGAGAGACAGGAAACAGGGGAGAAGAGUCGGGGGAAGACAUGCAGCAAAGGGCCGCGAGCGGGAAUCGAACCCGGGCCAACUGCGUCAGGGACCAGCCCCUGUACAUAGGUCACCCACUCAACGCGUUGAGCUAUACGGGCACCCUAAUUCUUCAUCUUUUUGUGGUAAGUUCACAUGGAGUCCAGAAAUCUCACUCGAGGUAACUUUACUCUCC
Long non-coding RNA from Amphiprion ocellaris (clown anemonefish), 488 nucleotides. NCBI's taxonomy places the organism in Eukaryota, Metazoa, Chordata, Actinopteri, Pomacentridae. The record is from Ensembl.